RNAcentral lists this non-coding RNA (520 nucleotides) under uncultured Glomus. RNAcentral's name for it is "SSU rRNA". It matches the Rfam family "Eukaryotic small subunit ribosomal RNA", at positions 569 to 1090 of the family's 1831-position model. The record is from RNAcentral. Lineage: Eukaryota; Fungi; Glomeromycota; Glomeromycetes; Glomerales; Glomeraceae. RNAcentral also lists the same sequence under 1 other name.
AGCAGCCGCGGUAAUUCCAGCUCCAAUAGCGUAUAUUAAAGUUGCUGCAGUUAAAAAGCUCGUAGUUGAAUUUCGGGACCAUCAUGUCGGUCGUGCCUCGGUACGUACUGGCAUUGUUGGUUUCUACCUUCUGACGAACCAUGAUGUCAUUUAUUUGGUGUCGUGGGAAAUCAGGACUGUUACUUUGAAAAAAUUAGAGUGUUUAAAGCAGGCUCACGCUUGAAUACAUUAGCAUGGAAUAAUGAAAUAGGACGUUUGAUUCUAUUUUGUUGGUUUCUAGGAUCGACGUAAUGAUUAAUAGGGAUAGUUGGGGGCAUUAGUAUUCAAUUGUCAGAGGUGAAAUUCUUGGAUUUAUUGAAGACUAACUACUGCGAAAGCAUUUGCCAAGGAUGUUUUCAUUAAUCAAGAACGAAAGUUAGGGGAUCGAAGACGAUCAGAUACCGUCGUAGUCUUAACCAUAAACUAUGCCGACUAGGGAUCGGAUGAUGUUAAUUUUUUCAAUGACUCAUUCGGCGCCUUA